GAGCAGUUGGUAGCUCGUCGGGCUCAUAACCCGAAGGUCGCAGGUUCAAAUCCUGCCUCCGCAA
This 64-nucleotide transfer RNA is filed under the name Clostridium tyrobutyricum DIVETGP. It matches the Rfam family "tRNA", at positions 10 to 71 of the family's 71-position model. Rfam says of the family: Transfer RNA (tRNA) molecules are approximately 80 nucleotides in length. Their secondary structure includes four short double-helical elements and three loops (D, anti-codon, and T loops). The record is from Rfam by way of RNAcentral. Lineage: Bacteria; Bacillati; Bacillota; Clostridia; Eubacteriales; Clostridiaceae.